GACGGACGCUGGCGGCGUGCUUAACACAUGCAAGUCGAACGGAAAGGCGCUAGCUUUCUGGGGUACUCGAGUGGCGAACGGGUGAGUAAAACGUGGGAGAUCUGCUCUGCACCCUGGGAUAAGCCUGGGAAACUGGGCCUAAAACCGGAGAUGAAGCUGCUUCACAGUGUGCGGGGGAAAGAUUUUCGGUCCCGGAUGAGCGCGCGGCCUAUUAGCUUGUUGGUGGGGUAAUUGCCUACCAAGGCGGCGACGGGUAGGCGGCCUGUGAGGGUGUAUGGCCACAUUGGGACUAAGACACGGCGCAGGCUCCUACGGGGGACAGCAGUGGGGAGUAUUGCACAAUGGGCGAAAGCCUGAUGCAGAGACGCGGCGUGGUUGAUGACGUACUUCGGGUUGUAAACACAAUUCGGCACGGACGAAGCUUUUAUGACGGUACCUGAAUAAGAAGCACCGGCUAACUACGUG
This 465-nucleotide ribosomal RNA is filed under the name uncultured bacterium. Its description in RNAcentral is "partial 16S ribosomal RNA". It matches the Rfam family "Bacterial small subunit ribosomal RNA", at positions 28 to 507 of the family's 1533-position model. The record is from RNAcentral.